Molecule: unclassified non-coding RNA, 315 nt
Filed under: Zea mays
Lineage: Eukaryota; Viridiplantae; Streptophyta; Magnoliopsida; Poales; Poaceae
Description: misc RNA Zm00001eb406560
Source: RNAcentral
CUGAUCUUGAAGUAGCCCAGCAUCCGGUCGUCGGCCUGGUACACCAGCGUCUCCACAGGGAAGUCGAUGAGGUAGCAGUAGCCGCUCGCGCCGUUGUACAGCGCGCCCCGGCAGGUGCAGUUGCCCGCACACGCCAGCUCGCACCCGUCCGCCGUCGUGUUCGUCCGGAACGGCAGCUCCUCCUUGUACGCCACGGACACCCGCGUCCGCCGCACCACGUCGAAACCCAGCUGCCGCGCCCCGUUGCUGCUGGCGGUGCUGCAGAGGUCGGCGGUGUCCUCGCCGUGGCACGGCGGGGCGGUGCUCGUGCCGUUA